This 465-nucleotide ribosomal RNA is filed under the name Vreelandella stevensii. Its description in RNAcentral is "partial 16S ribosomal RNA". It matches the Rfam family "Bacterial small subunit ribosomal RNA", at positions 338 to 795 of the family's 1533-position model. The record is from RNAcentral. Lineage: Bacteria; Pseudomonadati; Pseudomonadota; Gammaproteobacteria; Oceanospirillales; Halomonadaceae.
CCUACGGGAGGCUGCAGUGGGGAAUAUUGGACAAUGGGCGAAAGCCUGAUCCAGCCAUGCCGCGUGUGUGAAGAAGGCCUUCGGGUUGUAAAGCACUUUCAGUGGGGAAGAAAGCCUUGGGGCUAAUACCCUCGAGGAAGGACAUCACCCACAGAAGAAGCACCGACUAACUCCGUGCCAGCAGCCGCGGUAAUACGGAGGGUGCGAGCGUUAAUCGGAAUUACUGGGCGUAAAGCGCGCGUAGGCGGUCUGAUAAGCCGGUUGUGAAAGCCCCGGGCUCAACCUGGGAACGGCAUCCGGAACUGUCAGGCUAGAGUGCAGGAGAGGAAGGUAGAAUUCCCGGUGUAGCGGUGAAAUGCGUAGAGAUCGGGAGGAAUACCAGUGGCGAAGGCGGCCUUCUGGACUGACACUGACGCUGAGGUGCGAAAGCGUGGGUAGCAAACAGGAUUAGAUACCCUGGUAGUC